AUGUGCGGGAUCUUCGCCUACCUCAACUACAAUGUCUCGCGGGAGCGCCGCUACGUCCUCGAGGUGCUCCUCAACGGCCUCCGCCGGCUCGAGUACCGCGGCUACGACUCCUCCGGGAUAGCGGUCGACGCGGACCUCCCGGCGCCCCCUGCUCCCGGCUCCGCGCCGGCUCCCUACGCCGGGGCGCCCCCGCUCGUGUACCGGCAGGAGGGCAAGAUCGAGAACCUCGUGCGAUCCGUCUACGCCGAGGUUGAUGAGAAGGAUGUGAACUUGGAUGCCGCAUUCAAUGUGCAUGCUGGAAUUGCUCACACCAGGUGGGCCACACACGGCGUACCAGCCCCGAGGAACAGCCACCCGCAAUCUUCCGGCGCCGGUGACGAGUUCUUGGUCGUGCACAAUGGCAUCAUCACAAACUAUGAGGUUCUGAAAGAGACACUUACUCGGCAUGGGUUCACCUUUGAGUCUGAUACCGACACAGAAGUCAUCCCUAAGCUAGCAAAGUUUGUUUUUGAUAAGGCUCAUGAUGGAGAAGGUGAUGUGACAUUUAGCCAAGUUGUUAACGAAGUCAUGAGGCAGCUUGAAGGCGCCUACGCCCUUAUUUUUAAAAGUCCACACUACCCCAACGAACUGAUCGCAUGCAAACGAGGCAGCACACUGAUACUUGGUGUCAACGAAUUGAGUGGUCAAAAGAGCGGGAAAUCUUUCAAUGAUGUCAAAGCCCUGACAGCAAACGGAAAGCCAAAAGAGCUAUUCUUCUCCAGUGAUUUAUGUGCUAUAGUGGAGCAUACCAAGAACUAUUUAGCUAUUGAAGAUAAUGAAAUCGUUCAUAUCAAGGAUGGCAGUGUGUCUAUCCUUAAGUUUGACCAUGACAAAGAGAAGCCAGCAUCUGUGCAACGAGCAUUAUCUGUUCUUGAGAUGGAAGUUGAGCAAAUAAAGAAAGGAAACUAUGACCACUUCAUGCAAAAAGAAAUCCAUGAACAACCACAUUCACUGACGACAACGAUGAGGGGUAGACUAAAGGAUGGUGCAGUUCUUUUGGGGGGACUGAAGGAACACCUCAAAACAAUUAGACGCAGUAGAAGAGUAGUCUUUAUUGGCUGUGGUACUAGUUACAAUGCUGCGUUAGCUGCGAGAACUUUUGUGGAAGAACUAACAGGUAUUCCUGUGACAAUGGAGGUUGCAAGUGACUUGCUGGACAGACAAGGUCCCAUCUACAGAGAGGACACUGCGGUUUUUGUUAGCCAGUCAGGGGAGACAGCAGAUACCCUUCUUGCUCUUGAUUAUGCACUGGAAAAUGGAGCACUUUGUGUUGGCAUAACAAAUACUGUUGGAAGCACACUCUCAAGAAGAACACAUUGUGGAAUUCAUAUCAACGCUGGUUGUGAGAUUGGUGUUGCUAGCACUAAGGCAUACACAAGUCAAAUUGUAGUCAUGGCAAUGAUGGCCUUGGCUAUUGGAUCUGACCAAAUAUCCACUCAAGCUAGAAGGGAAGCUAUCAUCAGUGGUCUUUUCAGUCUUCCAAGCAAUGCUAGUCAAGUUCUGAAACUUGACUCUGAAAUGAAGGAACUUGCCUCUUCAUUGAUCGACUCGGAAUCGCUCCUCGUGUUUGGAAGAGGUUAUAACUAUGCCACUGCCUUAGAGGGUGCUCUCAAAGUUAAGGAGGUUGCGCUGAUGCAUAGUGAAGGCAUGUUUGCUGGUGAGAUGAAGCACGGGCCUCUAGCCCUAGUGGAUGAAAACCUCCCCAUCAUCGUCAUUGCAACACGCGACGCAUGCUUCAGCAAGCAACAGUCCGUGAUCCAGCAGCUCCUUUCUCGCAAGGGGCGUCUGAUCAUAAUGUGUUCAAAGGGAGAUGCCUCUGCUGUCAAUCCCGGCGGAUCUUGUAGAGUGAUUGAAGUUCCAAAGGUUGCGGACUGUCUCCAGCCAGUGAUUAACAUAAUACCAUUACAGUUGCUCGCAUACCAUCUCACCGUUCUUCGUGGAUUCGAUGUUGACCAACCAAGGAAUCUGGCGAAGAGCGUGACCACCCAGUAA
This 2031-nucleotide ribosomal RNA is filed under the name Triticum aestivum (bread wheat). RNAcentral describes it as "partial small subunit ribosomal RNA". Lineage: Eukaryota; Viridiplantae; Streptophyta; Magnoliopsida; Poales; Poaceae. The record is from RNAcentral.